GUUGAAUAGGAGUGGUGAGAGAGGGCAUCCCUGACAUGGGUGCAGGCUAUGAAGAUGGGAAAAGGCCGUUGAUCACUCUGGCUUCUUCCUGCUGACAGCGGACAUAGUGGGAAUGGGAGUGAACCCCAAGGUGAGAGAGUGGAACCACUUUGCAACUGUCUGAGCGUACUCAUGCAGCCCUGGCUUUUCAGUAGGCCUACACAGAAAAUGUGAGACUGAAAACCCCUGCAUCCUUGAGCUCAUGGACGAUGUGCUCUAUGAGGCAGUAGAGGAGCUCCGCCUGGUACUCGACACUCCACAAAGCAACUCUCCCUUUGGGGCUGCAGUUGGUGAACAAAAAGAAACUCUCAAGGAUCCAAGAUGAUGCUGAUAAGACUUAUUAAAUUUGGAGAAACCAAAUUUAACGUCACUGAACCCAAAGAACCCGGAGAGUCAGUGGUUAUAAGAAUUCCAGUGAUUC
RNAcentral lists this long non-coding RNA (460 nucleotides) under Homo sapiens (human). RNAcentral's name for it is "HSALNT0372069". The record is from RNAcentral. Lineage: Eukaryota; Metazoa; Chordata; Mammalia; Primates; Hominidae.